CCUACGGGGGGGCAGCAGUGGGGAAUCUUGCACAAUGGAGGAAACUCUGAUGCAGCGAUGCCGCGUGAGUGAAGAAGGCCUUUGGGUUGUAAAGCUCUUUCGUCGGGGAAGAAAAUGACUGUACCCGAAUAAGAAGGUCCGGCUAACUUCGUGCCAGCAGCCGCGGUAAUACGAAGGGACCUAGCGUAGUUCGGAAUUACUGGGCUUAAAGAGUUCGUAGGUGGUUGAAAAAGUUGGUGGUGAAAUCCCAGAGCUUAACUCUGGAACUGCCAUCAAAACUUUUCAGCUAGAGUAUGAUAGAGGAAAGCAGAAUUUCUAGUGUAGAGGUGAAAUUCGUAGAUAUUAGAAAGAAUACCAAUUGCGAAGGCAGCUUUCUGGAUCAUUACUGACACUGAGGAACGAAAGCAUGGGUAGCGAAGAGGAUUAGAUACCCCAGUAGUC
This 441-nucleotide ribosomal RNA is filed under the name uncultured bacterium. RNAcentral describes it as "bacterial SSU rRNA". It matches the Rfam family "Bacterial small subunit ribosomal RNA", at positions 338 to 795 of the family's 1533-position model. The record is from RNAcentral.